This 367-nucleotide small RNA is filed under the name Arabidopsis thaliana (thale cress). Its description in RNAcentral is "ATSL081890". Lineage: Eukaryota; Viridiplantae; Streptophyta; Magnoliopsida; Brassicales; Brassicaceae. The record is from RNAcentral.
GUAAGAAACAUGUUUUCUUUGUAUUAGAGGAUCUAAUUUUUGGCCUAACUUAGAAUUAGUCUUUCUAUAGUAUUUUGGUUACAUUUAUAGACCUAAUUGGGGUCUAAAUUAGAUUAUCUUUGAUAGGGCUGACGAAAAAACGGACCCGAUAACCAACCUAAUACCCAAACCAAAAAACUGGGUUAGGGCGGGUUAAAAUUUUAGAAAAUUUCCUUAUUAGGUAGAGUUUUAGUAAACCCGUGGAUAUCCGAUUGGUCUGGAAAUUAUCCGUUACCCAAAAAGAAUAUUCAAAAACUCAAACAUUAAUUUAAUAUCCAAAAUAUUAAUUAUAUUUAAUCGUAAUAUUAUCUAAUUAUCUAAGAUUAUA